CAGGCUUAACACAUGCAAGUCGAGGGGCAGCAUGGUCUUAGCUUGCUAAGGCCGAUGGCGACCGGCGCACGGGUGAGUAACACGUAUCCAACCUGCCGUCUACUCUUGGACAGCCUUCUGAAAGGAAGAUUAAUACAAGAUGGCAUCAUGAGUCCGCAUGUUCACAUGAUUAAAGGUAUUCCGGUAGACGAUGGGGAUGCGUUCCAUUAGAUAGUAGGCGGGGUAACGGCCCACCUAGUCUUCGAUGGAUAGGGGUUCUGAGAGGAAGGUCCCCCACAUUGGAACUGAGACACGGUCCAAACUCCUACGGGAGGCAGCAGUGAGGAAUAUUGGUCAAUGGGCGAGAGCCUGAACCAGCCAAGUAGCGUGAAGGAUGACUGCCCUAUGGGUUGUAAACUUCUUUUAUAAAGGAAUAAAGUCGGGUAUGGAUACCCGUUUGCAUGUACUUUAUGAAUAAGGAUCGGCUAACUCCGUGCCAGCAGCCGCGGUAAUACGGAGGAUCCGAGCGUUAUCCGGAUUUAUUGGGUUUAAAGGGAGCGUAGAUGGAUGUUUAAGUCAGUUGUGAAAGUUUGCGGCUCAACCGUAAAAUUGCAGUUGAUACUGGAUAUCUUGAGUGCAGUUGAGGCAGGCGGAAUUCGUGGUGUAGCGGUGAAAUGCUUAGAUAUCACGAAGAACUCCGAUUGCGAAGGCAGCCUGCUAAGCUGCAACUGACAUUGAGGCUCGAAAGUGUGGGUAUCAAACAGGAUUAGAUACCCUGGUAGUCCACACGGUAAACGAUGAAUACUCGCUGUUUGCGAUAUACGGCAAGCGGCCAAGCGAAAGCGUUAAGUAUUCCACCUGGGGAGUACGCCGGCAACGGUGAAACUCAAAGGAAUUGACGGGGGCCCGCACAAGCGGAGGAACAUGUGGUUUAAUUCGAUGAUACGCGAGGAACCUUACCCGGGCUUAAAUUGCAGAUGAAUUACGGUGAAAGCCGUAAGCCGCAAGGCAUCUGUGAAGGUGCUGCAUGGUUGUCGCCAGCUCGUGCCGUGAGGUGUCGGCUUAAGUGCCAUAACGAGCGCAACCCUUGUUGUCAGUUACUAACAGGUUCCGCUGAGGACUCUGACAAGACUGCCAUCGUAAGAUGUGAGGAAGGUGGGGAUGACGUCAAAUCAGCACGGCCCUUACGUCCGGGGCUACACACGUGUUACAAUGGGGGGUACAGAGGGCCGCUACCACGCGAGUGGAUGCCAAUCCCCAAAACCUCUUUCAGUUCGGACUGGAGUCUGCAACCCGACUCCACGAAGCUGGAUUCGCUAGUAAUCGCGCAUCAGCCACGGCGCGGUGAAUACGUUCCCGGGCCUUGUACACACCGCCCGUCAAGCCAUGGGAGCCGGGGGUACCUGAAGUGCGUAACCGCGAGGAGCGCCCUAGGGUAAAACUGGUGACUGGGGCUAAGUC
RNAcentral lists this ribosomal RNA (1440 nucleotides) under uncultured organism. Its description in RNAcentral is "16S ribosomal RNA". It matches the Rfam family "Bacterial small subunit ribosomal RNA". The record is from RNAcentral.